Molecule: long non-coding RNA, 546 nt
Organism: Triticum aestivum (bread wheat)
Lineage: Eukaryota; Viridiplantae; Streptophyta; Magnoliopsida; Poales; Poaceae
Exons: 4
Source: RefSeq, a predicted model, not a curated record
UGCCGCCACCUCGCUUCCUUCUCCCCAUAUUGCCGCCGGCUGCUCCAAGUUAGAUCUGAGAUUAUUGAAAUUCCACUCAAGCUCAGACUGAUCCAACAUAGAUAUAUGUGAAUACUGAGAUUCCUCGAAGGCUUGGGCUCCACAACCUUCCACGACAUCAAUCUGGCAACGAAAACUCAAUUUUGGAACAGAUGACCAAUAGACCAAAGUGGCUAUGGUGGCGUGAUUACCAAUCGGCUCUCAGCUGAGCAAGGAGACAAUGUCGUUCUACUCCAACAAAUCGUUUUUCCUACACAUCCAAGCACGUGAGAUGAAAAUUGCAGGUUGAUUUGAAACCAGGAGUUUGAAAGUGCUAAUGGAUGCACGUGAUGGUUUUAGGAGAGAAAACCUGCUACAGCUAGGCAAGCAGAAAGGAGCAGACGAGUUGUGUGCCCAUACUUGCAGGUAAUGUUCUGAUUUUUCAUUUAAUGGGUUUAUUUCAAGUGUGUGUGCAGUAAUAUGAUUUGAUUUUUAUUGUAGAUUUACAGUUUGAUGCGUUUUUCUCAG